CGGGGUGCACCAGGCGCGAAAACUUUACAAUGCCGGCAACGGCGAUAAGGGAACCUCGAGUGCCAGGUUACAAAUCUGGCUGUCGUGAUGCCUAAAAAGCAUUGCAUAGCAAGGGCCGGGCAAGACCGGUGCCAGCCGCCGCGGUAACACCGGCGGCUCGAGUGGUAACCGUUAUUAUUGGGUCUAAAGGGUCUGUAGCCGGCCGGGUAAGUCUCUUGGGAAAUCUGGCAGCUUAACUGUCAGGCUUUCAGGAGAUACUGCCUGGCUCGAGGCCGGGAGAGGUGAGAGGUACUUCAGGGGUAGGGGUGAAAUCUUGUAAUCCUUGAAGGACCACCAGUGGCGAAGGCGUCUCACCAGAACGGACCUGACGGCAAGGGACGAAAGCUAGGGGCACGAACCGGAUUAGAUACCCGGGUAGUCCUAGCCGUAAACGAUACUCGCUAGGUGUCGGCCACGGUGCGACCGUGGUCGGUGCCGUAGGGAAGCCGUGAAGCGAGCCACCUGGGAAGUACGGCCGCAAGGCUGAAACUUAAAGGAAUUGGCGGGGGAGCACAAGGGCGAUUCGCGG
Molecule: ribosomal RNA, 568 nt
Filed under: uncultured archaeon
Lineage: Archaea
Description: bacterial SSU rRNA
Rfam family: Archaeal small subunit ribosomal RNA
Source: RNAcentral